AUGGGGACGCGGGCAAUGGCUCUUCCUACAACGCCAAGGACCUGCGUCCGUUGGCCUUGCCGCCGUCCGACUAUGUGCAUGGUUGUUCGUGUCGAUCGGCACCGGACAAGGCGGCAGGCGGAAGGUCCUUGCGCUCGACACUGCCGCCAGCACGUCAUGGGUGAUGUGUUGAGCCGUGUCGUCCACCGCUGCAUCAAGUUGGCAGACUCUUCUUGCCCGCCGCGUCACCCACGUUUCGUGGUGUCCGCAGGGAUGACCCUGUUUGCGUCCCACCUUACCGCCGCAUCCACUCGGCCAACAGGUGCUCCUUUGCCUUCCCUUCCGCCACCGGGUACCUCGCACGCGACACCUUCCACCUGA
This 360-nucleotide ribosomal RNA is filed under the name Triticum aestivum (bread wheat). Its description in RNAcentral is "partial small subunit ribosomal RNA". Lineage: Eukaryota; Viridiplantae; Streptophyta; Magnoliopsida; Poales; Poaceae. The record is from RNAcentral.